Molecule: ribosomal RNA, 450 nt
Filed under: uncultured bacterium
Lineage: Bacteria
Description: bacterial SSU rRNA
Rfam family: Bacterial small subunit ribosomal RNA
Source: RNAcentral
UCGAGAAUUUUUCACAAUGGGGGCAACCCUGAUGGAGCGACGCCGCGUGGAGGAUGAAGGUUUUCGGAUUGUAAACUCCUGUCACUACAGAACAAGAGUACAUUUUCCAAUAAAGAGUGUAUUUGAUGGUAUGUGGAGAGGAAGGGACGGCUAACUCUGUGCCAGCAGCCGCGGUAAUACAGAGGUCCCGAGCGUUGUUCGGAUUCAUUGGGCGUAAAGGGUGUGUAGGAGGCUGGGUAAGUCGGGUGUGAAAUCUCACUGCUUAACAGUGAAAUGGCGCUCGAUACUGCUCGGCUAGAGGAUUGGAGGGGGAAGCGGAAUUCAUGGUGUAGCAGUGAAAUGCGUAGAUAUCAUGAGGAACACCGGUGGCGUAGGCGGCUUCCUGGAAAAUUCCUGACUCUGAAACACGAAAGCCAGGGGAGCAAACGGGAUUAGAUACCCCCGUAGUCC